Non-coding RNA from Saimiri boliviensis boliviensis (Bolivian squirrel monkey), 454 nucleotides. Lineage: Eukaryota; Metazoa; Chordata; Mammalia; Primates; Cebidae. The record is from RefSeq and is a predicted model, not a curated record.
CAACACAUUGGAAUAUUUUUCAGAACUUUUAUUUUAGAAGAUAGGAAAUAACUGAGUGUAUUAUGAGCAGGAGUUAGAGGAAUAGACUCAGUACAGAAGAGACAGGAACAAAAGUACACCUCCGAUUGAUGAGAAAGGACAUAAAUCAAGAGCUCAGGAAAAAUAGGAGAAGGAGAAGGAAGCUCUAUUCCAGAAGCAGUGUGGAGCACAGAGAACCCCUAAUCAGUGACAUUAAGAAAGAAGAAAAAUAUUCGUAGGCUGAUCCUGGAGACCAAAUGUCAUCAGCAGUCACUUGACUUUCCUUGGAUUUCUCAAAUGCAGGAGUGACAUGGUCUGCUGAAAAUGAAUGCUCUUCAUUUUCAUCUGAUUUCAAGGAAUUAUGGUUUUCAGUGAUUUCUUCAUUUCGAUCUAUUUUGAGACAAAGUAAUACCAUUAAAACCCCCUUCUGAAUAAA